Molecule: ribosomal RNA, 320 nt
Filed under: uncultured bacterium
Lineage: Bacteria
Description: bacterial SSU rRNA
Rfam family: Bacterial small subunit ribosomal RNA
Source: RNAcentral
AAUAAACGCUGGCGGCGUGCCUAACACAUGCAAGUCGAGCGAGAAAGUCUCUUCGGAGACGAGUAAAGCGGCGGACGGUUGAGUAACACGUAAGAAUCUGCCCUUCAGUGAAGAAUACCCUCGAGAAAUCGAGGUUAAUACUGCAUAUCUCCCUACGGGGAGAAAGGUGGCUUAUUUUAGCUACCGCUGAAGGAGGAGCUUGCGGCCUAUCAGUUAGUUGGUGAGAUAAAAGCCCACCAAGACUAUGACGGGUAGCCGGCCUGAGAGGGUGUUCGGCCAGACUGGAACUUAGACACGGUCCAGACUCCUACGGGUGGCAG